GGAUUGUGGUUCAGUGGUAGAGCGCUCUCCUCUCACGAGUGGGACCUGGGUUCGAUCCUCAGCACCA
RNAcentral lists this transfer RNA (67 nucleotides) under Marmota monax (woodchuck). Its description in RNAcentral is "tRNA.Glu". The stretch from base 5 to 64 matches the Rfam family "tRNA", at positions 6 to 65 of the family's 71-position model. Rfam says of the family: Transfer RNA (tRNA) molecules are approximately 80 nucleotides in length. Their secondary structure includes four short double-helical elements and three loops (D, anti-codon, and T loops). Further hydrogen bonds mediate the characteristic L-shaped molecular structure. tRNAs have two regions of fundamental functional importance: the anti-codon, which is responsible for specific mRNA codon recognition, and the 3' end, to which the tRNAs corresponding amino acid is attached (by aminoacyl-tRNA synthetases). tRNAs cope with the degeneracy of the genetic code in two manners: having more than one tRNA (with a specific anti-codon) for a particular amino acid; and 'wobble' base-pairing, i.e. permitting non-standard base-pairing at the 3rd anti-codon position. Lineage: Eukaryota; Metazoa; Chordata; Mammalia; Rodentia; Sciuridae. The record is from RNAcentral.